AGAGGAAUAUGCUAAAUUUUAAGCAACUAGACUCAUGAUCUGGAAAUGAGAUUAAUUCUCUUCCUCUU
RNAcentral lists this transfer RNA (68 nucleotides) under Strongylocotes lipogonus. Its description in RNAcentral is "tRNA-Met". It matches the Rfam family "tRNA". From Rfam's summary of the family: Transfer RNA (tRNA) molecules are approximately 80 nucleotides in length. Their secondary structure includes four short double-helical elements and three loops (D, anti-codon, and T loops). The record is from RNAcentral. Lineage: Eukaryota; Metazoa; Arthropoda; Insecta; Psocodea; Heptapsogasteridae.